Molecule: long non-coding RNA, 7148 nt
Filed under: Arabidopsis lyrata
Lineage: Eukaryota; Viridiplantae; Streptophyta; Magnoliopsida; Brassicales; Brassicaceae
Description: long non-coding RNA (ALYR_LNC003052)
Source: RNAcentral
AAUGGAACGUGGAGCUUCCUUCUCUCACUAUCAGCUACCCAAAUCCAUCUCUGUUAAUCUAAGUGGCUAUUUAUAUACUUGCCUCCAUGUAUAUUUAUAUGCUCAUGAAAAAUUGGAGACUUGCUUUUUGAUUUUUAUGAGUCUUUUCAACAAAGAAGUAGAGGCUUUCUUUCUCGAAAUUUAAUUUUAGAAUUUGUGAAGGUUUUGGGAAUGGCUCGGAAAAGACGAUUUUAUACAUGCAUGCAAGAGUUUGAUAUGUGUAUUGUCUCAUCAUGACUGAGUCAAAGUUUGAUUCAAAUAUUUCCAUGGUGUGGUAGAAAUUAAACAAAUCUUUCAUAUGUGUUCAUUGAAUAUUCCCGUGCAUGCACGAUGAAUGUUUUUGAGUAUCAAUUUUUUUGUUUUAUUUUUUUUUGUUUUUCGAUUCUAAAAACGUAGGGGAGGGGAUUUUAUUGGUUUUCUCUAUGAGUUUUCUCGUUGUAACGGUUGAGUUUUUUUUUUUUCCGUUUCAAAAUGAGAUUCUCGUUUCUCUGCCUUUAUCUAAAAGCAUCUACAGUAAAUUAAAAGACACUAAAAAACAAAAAAUUAAAAGACACUGAAAUUUUUUUUAUACUUAAUAAACAUUUAAGUAUAUAUAAACAGUCUUACUAGUCCCAAGUUUUACAAUUCAAAAUUUAUUAGUAAUUGUUUUUUGGAAAAAAUCUAAGUGAAUUUUUGUCCAAAAUUUUCCUUUUACUGUGUUUAUUCUAGUGGGUGUCAUUAACUUUAAUCUUGUGAUUCUUUUAACGUUUACCAUUGGGAACCUUCACAUGAAAUAAAUGUCUACUUUAUCGAGUCAUACCUUCUUCUCCGUAAAUUAAUUGAUGUUCUUCUUCAAAAUUUGAGUUUCUGUUUUUUGUAAUAAACUAAACGAAAGAAUUUGGGAAUACGUGUUUAUACAAUUAUACUUUUAAAGUUAUAUUUAUGUCAAAAUUUAAGUAUUUCGAGAAGAGGAAAGAUCCUUUUGACAUUUUUGUUCUAUAGUUAUUAUUUAUUAGAAACGUAACGGCAAGAAUCUGAACAGUACCUACUCAACGGGGUCCAUAAGUCUAGUCAACAAAUGUAGUUGACUAUGUCCAGGCCAAAAACGUACGGUUAUUAUUAACCAUAGUUAAUAGUUAAAAGUUAACCAUGGUUCGGUUAACAUUAAACCCUUUUUCCUCUUUUAACAAACCCCAAAACCUUUCUUCAGAUUUUCUCUCUGCUUUUCACAAUCGUCGUCUCAAUUUUUUCCUGCAAAAUUCCGAUCGCCAUGGAUGAUGGAGCUGUUGAGAUACGUGAAGAGCAACGUCGAUUGAUCGUGGCCCAGCAGCAACCACCAUGUAUGGCUCGUGAACAAGACCAGUACAUGCCAAUCGCAAACGUCAUAAGAAUCAUGCGUAAAAUCUUACCGUCGCACGCUAAAAUCUCUGACGACGCCAAAGAAACGAUUCAAGAAUGUGUCUCCGAGUACAUAAGCUUCGUGACCGGUGAAGCCAACGAGCGUUGCCAACGUGAGCAACGUAAGACCAUAACUGCUGAAGAUAUCCUUUGGGCUAUGAGCAAGCUUGGGUUCGAUAACUACGUGGAUCCCCUCACCGUGUUUAUUAACCGGUACCGUGAGAUAGAGACCGAUCGUGGGUCGGCACUUAGAGGUGAGCCACCGUCGUUGAGACAGGCCUAUGGAGGAAAUGGUAUUGGGUUUCACGGCCCACCACAUGGCCCAUCUCAUGGCCUACCUCCUCCUGGUCCUUAUGGUUAUGGUAUGUUGGACCAAUCCAUGGUUAUGGGAGAUGGUCGGUUCUACCAAAACGGGUCGUCGGGUCAGGACGAAUCAAGUGCUGGUGGUGGCUAUUCGUCUUCCAUUAACGGAAUGCCGGCGUAUGACCAAUAUGGUCAGUAUAAGUGAAGAUGGAAUUAUUCUUCAUUUUUAUGUAUAUCGAUUCAAAACAUGUGUUUGAAUAGAUAUUUUAUCUUUGUAUUAUCAAUAACAUUUCUAUAUAUAAUGUUGCUCCUUUUAAGGAAAAGUGUUGAGUUUCAAUACUUUUCGAGAACUGAUUUAUAUAUGCAAAUGAAAAAGUGUUUUUGGAUGAAACUCUAUGCAAUAUUACAUGAUCUAAAGGUUUUUGUAAUUUUAAAGCUGCUAUAGUUAGAAGAUAACUAAACAUUAUAGGAACCAAGUUUGCUUUUUUUUAUAUAGUUAGAAGAUUUAUAUAUGCAAACAAAAAGGGUUAUAAAAUCAAAAUUCAAAAUGAAGCAAGUGGUCCAAAUGCAUUGACCACAUAAACACUUUAAUAACCAAAAUAUAGGAUUUUUGUAAGACUCUCAAGUCUGACGCACAACAGUUUAUGUUAUUUAUAGAGUUGACUGUACCAUUAAAGAUUUCAAAAAAAUUAGAUCUUUAUUAGGUUCAUUUGUUGUUACACUCCUCCUUCUAUAUAAUAAUAACCUCCACUCCUCUCUAUGAGCAGCAAUGUGAAAGAUAUGGUCCAAGUGAAGUCAAACCCAACAAAUGAGCCUAGUCAACAACCACAACACAAAAAGACAAAGACCAGAAAAGUUUCACCGGCUGAGAGUAUCUCCAACAGUAAUGUCUUGAGGAAUAUCUUAAGAUUAAAAAAAUAAAAAAUAAUAAAAAAGUAGGAGAGAGUGUAGACACAGUUUCUGGUUUGAGAAACUUUGAGAAACUGUGUUUCCACUUGUCAUUUUAUUAUUGGUCAAAUUCUUUUUUUAUAAUUUAUAAUUUAAAUAAAUAAUUUAUUUAUUAUAAAUUGAUUAAAAUAAUAUUUUUGAUACACCCACACAGUGUCACAUAAACUCCCCUCUGAUCGCGGAAGCUGUGGCGGCCCUUCUCGCGUUGCAACACGCCCGAAACCUUGGUUUCACAUAGCUCUCUCUUGCUUCUGACUCGUCUCAACUCGUCAAAGCACUUCAAUCGGAGCUUCAAGUAAAGGAACUCCACGGGAUUCAAUUCGACAUCCUUGAUCUAUGUUUAAGUUUCUCUGCAAUUUCUUUUCGCUUUAUCCCACGAUCUCAAAACACUGUAGCGGAUUCGUUGGCCAAGGAGGCCUUACUCUCCUUUGUACUGGGCCUGGCCCAACUCUAGUUUUCAAUUGAAUCAUCCAUCCUUUGCACAAAAAAAAAAAUUUGUAAGCGUUAUGAUUGCAUUGGAGAGGUUUACUUGUCCGUUCAUUUUUUGAAUUCAAAUAAUGGGAGUUCAAACACUUAGAAAUAUCAGCAUUACUAUAUAUAUACUACUAGUAUUCAUUUGUUUAACAUAUAUGGAUGGUCGAUUAUUUUUUUGUUAAUCAACGCCGAAGGGUAAAGAGCUCAUGUUUUUUUCGUGAUGUAGCCUAAAGAUUAAUAUAAGUUUAUUGCAAAAAAAAAUAAUGAAAAAUCACUUCUAUUAAUUUUGUUAACAUGCAAGGUCAAAUUACUUUUCACUCUCUAUCUCAUUUCUCGUCAUGCAUAUAUGUUCGCAAGAAUCUCCAAUGUUGAUAUAUUCACCUAUCUCAACUCAUAUUUACGUAAUGUAAUUUCUUGUAAUUUGCCAGUUCAUCUCUACUCGAAAAUGCCCAAUCCUAAUAACAUAGAGGUGUGCUGAAAAAUAAUGGGAGAAUUAGCCUCAUAAUAUUUUGCGUAAGAGUAACUUGGAAGACGUACAUUGACCAAGGUAUUAUGAUUUUUGUCAGUUAAUGGCACCCCAUUGGACCAACAAAUUAAGCAAUCCCCGCAUUCCUUUAAUUUAAUCGUAACAAUAUGUAUUAAACUAAAUAUACAUGCACAACAAUUAAUUUCAAAUACAUUAAAAAAACGCACAAGUCAUAACAAUGAUUAUUCGAGUUUAUUACUCCAUAUGCGACUAUGAACAUUUUAAUAAACUUCGACAUCAAAGAAGCUGAGACAUGCAUGCCGAAACAAGCAUUCCUCUUCUGACUUCUCUCGUCCACAAUUUUUUUUUAUUUUUUGAAUACUAAGGUGUUAAAUUAUUAUAUCUAAUUAAUUAUAGCAAAUAAUUGAAGGUAUAGGUCGAGGUUUUCAUUAAAGAAACAAUAGGCUCUCUAAUUCUAUAGAUCAAUUAUUGACCACUCGAGGAUUUACAUUAUAUUUCAUGCAUGUAUAUUUGUUAGAAGUAAACUGUUUUUUCUUGUUUUCAUUUCUAGUAAGAAAUUCUUAGUCCUAGUUUUAUUUUUGUCUUAAAAGCUUACUUGAAUAGUUAAAAAGUUCAAUACUUAUCAAAAAAAUAUUUAUACUAAUAUUACACAAAAAAAAAUAUGUAAAAAUAUAUAGUUAAAAGUUCAAACUAAAAAUAGAUGCUUUGAGAUAUUUGAGUGCACAUUACUUUAAAUUUGAUGGGAAAUCUGUAAACCAGUAAUUCUCUAUCUGCAGGAUAAUUAAUUUGUGUGUGGAGUGGUUAGAUUUCGAAGUCAACAGUUUAGUCAAAGUGCUGUCAGAAAAAUUACAUGCGGGGGCUGUAAGAAAUAAUACAUUUACAUGGAUUACAAAAACAGUUUUUAAGAAGAAAAAAAAGUGGUUUACCAAAAAAAAAAAGUGACGCUUUCAAAUUAUUUAAAAUAGAAAAGUGUUUUAUGGGUUUAUACUUUAUAGAAUAUUACACACAUUAAGAUCUAAUAUUGUUGCAUCUAAUAAUAUUUAUACUUCAGAGAUUUCAAAAUGUAGUGUUAUUUAAUCAAUAUUUUAAAUAUUUCAUAAAAUCUAGUAUUGUUCAAAAGUAUAACAUUUAAUUAAUAUUUUGAUACAUAAAUCUAUCUUUACUAUACUAUAAAUCUAGUAGAUUAGUCCAACAUCCUUAUUAAACCACCUCUCAAUGAAAAAUUAAAAUAGACCAAAAAAUUACAUCAGAAAUAUUAAAUGAUGAAUAAUAUAAGCAACUUCUUAAUGAUACACAACACCAAUCCUAGUUUUUCUAAUUUUUGUAACUUUUUUUUUUAUUUGUUUCUACCAAACUUAUCCAAAUAUAAAUUGAUAGAAACUAACAGAUAACUAAACAAUGCCACAAAAAUCUUUAUCAACCAUUGGAUUACUAGGGUGUUGGAUUUAUAUAUUUAUUGGUUAUUUAUGUAUUAGAAAAUGCAAAGCAACAUUCAAUUGUAAGUUUGUAACAUGCAUCUAACACCAAUAUCUUUUACUAAACUUUUGUAAUCCCUUAAACACUUUAAAAUGCUAAUUCAAAUUAAAAAUACAUUACACGUGAUACAUAGUUUUAAAAACAGUAGACUUAUAGCUCAUUUUCGUAACGCAUAUAUAUAUUAAAAUUUACCAAAAUUUACCAUUUCGAGUAAGAGAAUCUUUUUAAAAAUAAUUUUCAAUUUCAUUAAUUAAGAAACAAUGAAUUUAAUGAAAUGUAUAUUUUAUUAAAUUCCCAUAAAGUAUAUAUAAUUAAAAUAAUGCCACGUAAAUCUUUCUCCGCCGUUCGAUAAUCAAAUACUUUCUUGAUUAAAAAUGUAUUCAGAAAAUGUUAAACCAACAUUUAUCUAUAAACAAAGAGAGCCUCAUAUGUGUAAAAAUCUUCUUCUUAUCUUUCUUUCUUUCUUAAUAGAGUCUUUAAUUUUUACUCAAUUAGCUUUGGUAAUUUGUGAAAAAAACAACCAAUGAGAGAAGAGCAGUUUGACUGGCCACAUAGCCAAUGAAAUUAGCCAAUGGGAAAGAGAUAUAGAGACCUCGUAAGAACCGCCUCCUUUGCCAUUUGUAUCAUCUCUCUAUAAAACCACUCAACCAUCAACCUUUCUUUACAUGCAACAAAUCACUCAAAUAAUUAUUUUAUAAAGAACAAAAAAAAAAAGACGGCAGGGAAACAAUGGAACGUGGAGCUUCCUUCUCUCACUAUCAGCUACCCAAAUCCAUCUCUGUUAAUCUAAGUGGCUAUUUAUAUACUUGCCUCCAUGUAUAUUUAUAUGCUCAUGAAAAAUUGGAGACUUGCUUUUUGAUUUUUAUGAGUCUUUUCAACAAAGAAGUAGAGGCUUUCUUUCUCGAAAAUUAAUUUUAGAAUUUGUGAAGGUUUUGGGAAUGGCUCUGAAAAGACGAUUUUAUACAUGCAUGCAAGAGUUUGAUAUGUGUAUUGUCUCAUCAUGACUGAGUCAAAGUUUGAUUCAAAUAUUUCCAUGGUGUGGUAGAAAUUAAACAAAUCUUUCAUAUGUGUUCAUUGAAUAUUCCCGUGCAUGCACGAGGAAUGUUUUUGAGUAUCAAUUUUUUUGUUUUAUUUUUUUUUGUUUUUCGAUUCUAAAAACGUAGGGGAGGGGAUUUUAUUGGUUUUCUCUAUGAGUUUUCUCGUUGUAACGGUUGAGUUUUUUUUUUUUCCGUUUCAAAAUGAGAUUCUCGUUUCUCUGCCUUUAUCUAAAAGCAUCUACAGUAAAUUAAAAGACACUAAAAAACAAAAAAUUAAAAGACACUGAAAUUUUUUUAUACUUAAUAAACAUUUAAGUAUAUAUAAACAGUCUUACUAGUCCCAAGUUUUACAAUUCAAAAUUUAUUAGUAAUUGUUUUUUGGAAAAAAUCUAAGUGAAUUUUUGUCCAAAAUUUUCCUUUUACUGUGUUUAUUCUAGUGGGUGUCAUUAACUUUAAUCUUGUGAUUCUUUUAACGUUUACCAUUGGGAACCUUCACAUGAAAUAAAUGUCUACUUUAUCGAGUCAUACCUUCUUCUCCGUAAAUUAAUUGAUGUUCUUCUUCAAAAUUUGAGUUUCUGUUUUUUGUAAUAAACUAAACGAAAGAAUUUGGGAAUACGUGUUUAUACAAUUAUACUUUUAAAGUUAUAUUUAUGUCAAAAUUUAAGUAUUUCGAGAAGAGGAAAGAUCCUUUUGACAUUUUUGUUCUAUAGUUAUUACUUAUUAGAAACGUAACGGCAAGAAUCUGAACAGUACCUACUCAACGGGGUCCAUAAGUCUAGUCAACAAAUGUAGUUGACUAUGUCCAGGCCAAAAACGUACGGUUAUUAUUAACCAUAGUUAAUAGUUAAAAGUUAACCAUGGUUCGGUUAACAUUAAACCCUUUUUCCUCUUUUAACAAACCCCAAAACCUUUCUUCAGAUUUUCUCUCUGCUUUUCACAAUCGUCGUCUCAAUUUUUUCCUGCAAAAUUCCGAUCGCCAUGGAUGAUGGAGCUGUUGAGAUACGUGA